GAAAGAAAUGGUCUUGCAGCCAGCUGGCCCCGUGAGCAAAUGUGAAGGUGUUAAACUGAAGGGUCUGUGGAGUACACGGAGGACAGCAAGAAGCUGCUGGGCUUCUACUCACCUCUGGUCAUGACUGAGCUGUCAGGCAGGUGAGUGGUUGUUCACUCCUGGAUAUAAUUUGCUGUAACAAUCAAAUUAGGAAGGAGCAGUGGUUUGAAGCGUUCUGGGCAGGUUUGUGCACCAUAGGAUUCACCAGUCACUGAGCUGGGACAUGUUUUCCCUUCAUGGUGUGCUUCUUUAAUGGGACUUGAACAGUGGUCUGAGCUCAGCGUCUGCUCAUCUCUCUGAAUCCUCCUUUUAACAAAGCUGUACUGUUGGGCUGUGGCAGUAUUUUCCAGAUGACUUCUCAGCAGCAUCAGACAAGUCUCCGUUAUUCCCUGGGAUUUUGCAUGCCUCUGUUCCAGCCCCUUGGCUCCAUUAGAGCCGUCCUCCUUCCAGAAGUGCCGGUGUCCAUGAAGAAGGCUGCACUGGAUCUUCAGUGUCCUUACCUGCCCCUGCUGACUCCCUGCUGAGGAGCUGCUCUGCUUUUUGCUGUCACUGGCUUGUGACAUACCUGAUGGGCUGAAACUGCCCCCUGCAACCUUCAAUCUGUUUGAGCAGACACUCCUGGAGACUGUUUGGAGACAGGAUGGGAGGAAAGUGCAGCUCCUAGGAGGGACAUGCCAGUGCCUGAGGUAGCUUGUCUGCAUGUGUUGUAAGGGUCCUGUGGAGAAGCUUCCAUUGGCAAG
Apus apus (common swift) is the source of this 779-nucleotide long non-coding RNA. RefSeq lists it as uncharacterized. The record is from RefSeq and is a predicted model, not a curated record. The transcript has 3 exons. NCBI's taxonomy places the organism in Eukaryota, Metazoa, Chordata, Aves, Apodiformes, Apodidae.